Molecule: transfer RNA, 93 nt
Filed under: Zetaproteobacteria bacterium
Lineage: Bacteria; Pseudomonadati; Pseudomonadota; Candidatius Mariprofundia
Description: tRNA-Ser
Rfam family: tRNA
About the family: Transfer RNA (tRNA) molecules are approximately 80 nucleotides in length. Their secondary structure includes four short double-helical elements and three loops (D, anti-codon, and T loops).
Source: RNAcentral
GGAGAGUUGGCCGAGUGGCUGAAGGCGCACGCUUGGAAAGCGUGUAUACGGCUUAUACCCGUAUCGGGGGUUCGAAUCCCCCACUCUCCGCCA